This 399-nucleotide ribosomal RNA is filed under the name Paracoccus marcusii. RNAcentral's name for it is "bacterial SSU rRNA". It matches the Rfam family "Bacterial small subunit ribosomal RNA", at positions 29 to 454 of the family's 1533-position model. Lineage: Bacteria; Pseudomonadati; Pseudomonadota; Alphaproteobacteria; Rhodobacterales; Paracoccaceae. The record is from RNAcentral.
AACGAACGCUGGCGGCAGGCUUAACACAUGCAAGUCGAGCGAGACCUUCGGGUCUAGCGGCGGACGGGUGAGUAACGCGUGGGAACGUGCCCUUCUCUACGGAAUAGCCCCGGGAAACUGGGAGUAAUACCGUAUACGCCCUUUGGGGGAAAGAUUUAUCGGAGAAGGAUCGGCCCGCGUUGGAUUAGGUAGUUGGUGGGGUAAUGGCCCACCAAGCCGACGAUCCAUAGCUGGUUUGAGAGGAUGAUCGGCCACACUGGGACUGAGACACGGCCCAGACUCCUACGGGAGGCAGCAGUGGGGAAUCUUAGACAAUGGGGGCAACCCUGAUCUAGCCAUGCCGCGUGAGUGAUGAAGGGCCUUAGGGUUGUAAAGCUUCUUUCAAGCUGGGAAAGAUAA